This is a long non-coding RNA of Asparagus officinalis (garden asparagus), 762 nucleotides long. RefSeq lists it as uncharacterized. Lineage: Eukaryota; Viridiplantae; Streptophyta; Magnoliopsida; Asparagales; Asparagaceae. The record is from RefSeq and is a predicted model, not a curated record. The transcript is spliced from 3 exons.
UGCUGUAACUGGUGCAUUUAUCAGUUGAAAUUUUAUUAUACUCUGCACAGAAGAGUUUUAAACUUUGUAGCAUUAAGUUGGCAGGUUCUUGUGUUCUAUUAGCGUGCAUCAAGUUGGCAGGUUCUUGUGUUCUAUUAGCGUGCAUCAAAGAAGACCACGUUAUUUCAAACCUGAGGGUCAAUAAGGGGUUUCAACUGGAAGGAUGCCCUGGUUAGCCUGCAGAGACAUGAACCUGCGAUACGUGGACUACUUAAGUAUUACUUAGCGAGUAGAUUUUGUAGAACAUUCAUGACCUGGCUUUCUUGUGGUGUAGGUAGCUGGGCAGCGGACACAUACACUAGCCAGUGCAUUUAUUUGUCUUCAAAUGAAGUGUUCCUGGCACUCCCCUACGUGCUAUGUAUUUGCUAAAUCUUGAAAAUGCCCCUAUCCAUGUUAGAUUUGUACUGAAGAAGACCACAUGACCUGUCAAUCAAGGUGAUCAGCGGCAUAGACCUUAUUGUCAACUGGACAUAGCAAAGCUUUUUUCAACCCUGAGAUUCCACAAGGAAACACAUGGUCUUCCCUGCUCAUCUUGUUAUUGUUGAUGUAUUGACCGCUGCAGACACUUGAACCUGAUCCAAAAUGAAGGGUGCAUUGGUGAGCACUCAGACCCUCGGACGUGCACCCAUAGAUCUAAAUGAUAAAAAGGUGGCUCUGGAAAGACAUACAUCAGCCUAGGCAGCAUGUUGCCUUCAACAAGUACUCCUGAUCCCCAGAUCCCCC